RNAcentral lists this ribosomal RNA (162 nucleotides) under uncultured bacterium. Its description in RNAcentral is "partial 16S ribosomal RNA". It matches the Rfam family "Bacterial small subunit ribosomal RNA", at positions 318 to 504 of the family's 1533-position model. The record is from RNAcentral.
CCGCGGUAAUAGGCGUUACUCCUACGGGAGGCAGCAGUGGGGAAUAUUGCGCAAUGGGCGAAAGACUGACGCAGCGACGCCGCGUGAGGGACGAAGGCCUUCGGGUUGUAAACCUCUUUCAGCAGGGACGCUGUACCUGCAGAAGAAGCACCGGCUAACUAC